This 1334-nucleotide long non-coding RNA is filed under the name Calidris pygmaea (Spoon-billed sandpiper). RNAcentral describes it as "lncRNA (ENSCPGG00000016477.1)". Lineage: Eukaryota; Metazoa; Chordata; Aves; Charadriiformes; Scolopacidae. The record is from RNAcentral.
AUGAAUUCCCAUGUUUUAAAAUCUCUUUUAGAAUUAUUUACAUUUUCUAGAAUUUUAAACAAGAGCAACUGUCAGAAAUAUUUUUCUCUCAGAUCUUUCUUUGGCUCUCUGGUUCUUCAAAGGCAGAAUGAAUGUGAGCCAGAAGACAGCAAGAUGUUCAUCUGCCUCCAUGAACAGCCUGACAGAGCUUCUAAGAAGAAUUGGGAAUUUGAUUCUAUGAGAAGGCCUGGUUUCAUGAGGAAGGAAAGAAGGUGCCAAUUGCCAGCAGUCGAAGUGUCCUAAGGAGUUCUAGAGAUAGGACUUGCAGGAAAACACACAUUUGAAUUUCUCUUCACCAGACAAGCUUUUGUUCGUGAAGUAAAAACAUUCUCUUGAAACGAGGUAUCAUCUUCAUGAUUAUUGUACGAAUUAAACAGGCAAUGGCAUCCUAGGAGCUUAGAAAGCUGAAGUGUCAGUCAUGUUAAAGAGUUACACUUAAAAGUACCGCAGGGCGGUCUGAAGUGAUAAGAAUGCACUUGCCAUCUCUUUGAAAAAAAAUUAACAGAUUGGGUUCCAAGCAUUUCUGAUAUUGUGAACAGCAACUCUGAUAAUACUGUUGAUUUCCAUAACACAUAUGAAAUAUCUGGUCACUCUAUAUUACAUAGCCAAGGACAAAGCUUAUGGAGAAGGCGGACAUGAAUUCAGUGUGCUCUGCUGACGGUUUAACUUCUCUGUUACCAACCAAAGUUCCUUUGGAUAAAGGGAGGGAUAUAACCAUGGGCCUUCACAGUCCACCAAAACAUCGAAGCACUGGCAACGUUUGAUUUGUUUAAUAUCACAUUGCAAACUGCGACAGUUAAUGUGGGGAAGACGUUGUAAAGAUAGGGUCUGUGGUGAAAAGAUGUUCUUUUGAAAAAAUACUGGUUCUGACCAUGAAAGUGAAAGGCAAUAUACAAAUAACGAGUUUGCUACAGAAAAAGGAUACCUGAAAUUGUAAGCAUUUCCUUAUUCUUUUGACCAUCUUUCAUCUCACCAGAAGUUACAUCAGUGAAUAUGUUCACCAUAUCUCUGUGACAGUUCUUUUCAGUAUUUAACUUUUUUUCUCCUCUGCUUAGAUUUAUUUCAGAUAAUCGCAGCAUUUUUCUAGAUACCAUACUUGAAGAUUAUUUUGUAAAACUGACGGUUUUGACAAUCAGCAGUAUUUCUUCUGACUCUCACAAAUGUCAAACAUAUUUGGACUCCUACAUUUUCUUUAAAAUACAGGUCUUUAAGUAAUGUUAAAAAUAAUUACCGUCAUCUCACACUGCUUGGUAACUGAUUCAACUUAAAAAUAAAUUAUAUUUUUUGUACUUUGC